GUGCCAGCAGCCGCGGUAAUACGUAGGGUGCAAGCGUUAAUCGGAAUUACUGGGCGUAAAGGGUGCGCAGGCGGCUCUGCAAGUCAGAUGUGAAAUCCCCGGGCUUAACCUGGGAACUGCGUUUGAAACUACAGAGCUAGAGUGUGGCAGAGGGAGGUGGAAUUCCAUGUGUAGCAGUGAAAUGCGUAGAGAUAUGGAAGAACAUCGAUGGCGAAGGCAACCUCCUGGGUUAACACUGACGCUCAUGCACGAAAGCGUGGGGAGCAAACAGGAUUAGAUACCCGAGUAGUCC
This 292-nucleotide ribosomal RNA is filed under the name uncultured bacterium. RNAcentral's name for it is "partial 16S ribosomal RNA". It matches the Rfam family "Bacterial small subunit ribosomal RNA", at positions 505 to 796 of the family's 1533-position model. The record is from RNAcentral.